Molecule: ribosomal RNA, 1407 nt
Filed under: uncultured bacterium
Lineage: Bacteria
Description: bacterial SSU rRNA
Rfam family: Bacterial small subunit ribosomal RNA
Source: RNAcentral
AGAGUUUGAUCCUGGCUCAGGACGAACGCUGGCGGCGUGCCUAAUACAUGCAAGUAGAACGCUGAAGAGAGGAGCUUGCUCUUCUUGGAUGAGUUGCGAACGGGUGAGUAACGCGUAGGUAACCUGCCUUGUAGCGGGGGAUAACUAUUGGAAACGAUAGCUAAUACCGCAUAACAAUGGAUGACACAUGUCAUUUAUUUGAAAGGGGCAAUUGCUCCACUACAAGAUGGACCUGCGUUGUAUUAGCUAGUAGGUGAGGUAAUGGCUCACCUAGGCGACGAUACAUAGCCGACCUGAGAGGGUGAUCGGCCACACUGGGACUGAGACACGGCCCAGACUCCUACGGGAGGCAGCAGUAGGGAAUCUUCGGCAAUGGGGGCAACCCUGACCGAGCAACGCCGCGUGAGUGAAGAAGGUUUUCGGAUCGUAAAGCUCUGUUGUAAGUCAAGAACGGGUGUGAGAGUGGAAAGUUCACACUGUGACGGUAGCUUACCAGAAAGGGACGGCUAACUACGUGCCAGCAGCCGCGGUAAUACGUAGGUCCCGAGCGUUGUCCGGAUUUAUUGGGCGUAAAGCGAGCGCAGGCGGUUUGAUAAGUCUGAAGUUAAAGGCUGUGGCUCAACCAUAGUUCGCUUUGGAAACUGUCAAACUUGAGUGCAGAAGGGGAGAGUGGAAUUCCAUGUGUAGCGGUGAAAUGCGUAGAUAUAUGGAGGAACACCGGUGGCGAAAGCGGCUCUCUGGUCUGUAACUGACGCUGAGGCUCGAAAGCGUGGGGAGCGAACAGGAUUAGAUACCCUGGUAGUCCACGCCGUAAACGAUGAGUGCUAGGUGUUGGAUCCUUUCCGGGAUUCAGUGCCGCAGCUAACGCAUUAAGCACUCCGCCUGGGGAGUACGACCGCAAGGUUGAAACUCAAAGGAAUUGACGGGGGCCCGCACAAGCGGUGGAGCAUGUGGUUUAAUUCGAAGCAACGCGAAGAACCUUACCAGGUCUUGACAUCCCGAUGCUAUUUCUAGAGAUAGAAAGUUACUUCGGUACAUCGGUGACAGGUGGUGCAUGGUUGUCGUCAGCUCGUGUCGUGAGAUGUUGGGUUAAGUCCCGCAACGAGCGCAACCCUUAUCUUUAGUAGCCAGCAGUAAGAUGGGCACUCUAAAGAGACUGCCGUGGAUAACACGGAGGAAGGUGGGGAUGACGUCAAAUCAUCAUGCCCCUUAUGUCUUGGGCAACACACGUGCUACAAUGGACGGAACAAAGUGAAGCGAGACUGCGAAGUGGAGCAAAGCACAAAAACCCGUUCUCAGUUCGGAUUGUAGUCUGCAACUCGACUACAUGAAGCUGGAAUCGCUAGUAAUCGCGAAUCAGAAUGUCGCGGUGAAUACGUUCCCGGGCCUUGCACACACCGCCCGUCA